GAACGGAAUCGGAUUACCUAAUGUGUGCGGCGUUGCCAUAGUUGCAGUGUAAGGGAGACUACUGACCGAGCAAAACAGCCCAGAGGGAAAAUCGCACUGCUGGAGAAAGAUUAACCUUAUAGAAAUGGAAUACUUGGAUGCACAAGGAACACGCCAGCUUCUGACGACCAACCAGAAGAUAAAUGGCUCCUUCACUGAGAAUCCAAAGAUUUGCAUUGAGGAGUAUCAGUCUAAAGAAGAAUACAGUCAGUCGUGUAGUGAUAUAUACCAACCCGAAAUAAAUGGACAAUACAGAUAUAAUAUUAACACUGGGCCAAUUGUAGUUGAGACUCCUCAUGACCAGCCGUACCACCUUCACCCACCAUAUGUUCAGAGCUCGGAAGAAAUUCAAGGUUGUCAUAAAAAUAAUUUGCAACAAAGAUCACCACAUAAUGAACUUCGCAAGUUGUCCAGAUUUUCUGUUGUAAAUGAAAGUGACAGAGGUUCACAAAGAGAAUCAAUAGAGAGUUGUAAUAAUGGCUUUGUGAAUGCUAAAAAUGUUGGCAUGUAUCUUCAGGUAACAGAGGAUACAAAUGCUUUAGAAUUACAAACCUGCUACCAGCAAGAACCUAGACAAACACAGCAGAGUUCCAGUCAAAAACAGAAACUGAGCAAAUCCACAUUGAGUCCCAAAGAUGUAUGGAACAAAAAACCUGGAAGAAAGACAAAGGAUAUAGUGGAACGUAACAAAAUAACCCUGGGCCACAACACAUCCAGAUCCAAUUUUGGCUCCUAUGUGAGGAUUCACAUGUUGAAACAGGAGAGGCCUCAUGAUGUGAAUGAGCACGGCCAGGAUUUAAUCAUACAAUUAACAUCUCUCCUUGGUCAUCUUCAUUGGAGCCAUGUUCAGCUUGCCUUGUCCACGGGAAAUAAACAGACAGGUUCAGAAAAACUCUCCUACAAGUCUCCAGGAGGGUUAAACAAACAAUCCAUUCAACAAAACGUGAUGAGUAGUCCUGUCCAAAGGAAGUUGCCAAUUUCCGAUGAUGGAGAGAAGCAAAACUUGAGUCCAGACAAGGUUCAUAUAAAACAGGUCCCUCAAAGCUUCCACAGAACACAUGCUACUUCUUUAUUACAGACCCUGGGCUCCUACCCAGUUCUUCCACCUAUAGAAAGACCUGCAACAAGGACAGAGAAUGAACUGGAGACUGGCCAGCAUGUGAACUUAGCCUGUUCCGUCCACAGAAGCAGCUCUGACAGCUAUCUGAAUCAGUUGGAGAAACAAAUUAAGCUGAGGGACAAAGUUACUAACAAGGCACACAGUCUGAGAGACUACAAACAGCAGACACGUACAAAUUUGCGAGGCCUAGGAUCUGACCACUCCGUCACUGAAAAGACAAAUAGAAAGAAAAGUGGGAUUCCUUUUCUACUGGCUAAGGAUGUGGAAGAUGACGACAAGAAAGUUCUCAGGACAAAGGCUUUGGAAUAUGCUAAGACCAUAUCUAAACGCCCUUUACAGUUUCAACCAAAACAGAGACAGAGGCAGCCAAUGAACGUCUUCACUGCUUGUGCACCCUACUUGCAGGAUGUGGAUGCAUUGCAGCUGGCCACACUGGAACUACUUAGAAAACGACAUGAAGAAGAGAAGCAGGCUGUGGCACACUUUGGAAAAAGUGCAUCUUAUAUAAAGCAAGGUGCGAUUCAAAGCCUGCACUCUGAUAGAUAG
Molecule: long non-coding RNA, 1705 nt
Organism: Betta splendens (Siamese fighting fish)
Lineage: Eukaryota; Metazoa; Chordata; Actinopteri; Anabantiformes; Osphronemidae
Product: junctional cadherin complex regulator
Source: Ensembl